RNAcentral lists this ribosomal RNA (253 nucleotides) under uncultured bacterium. RNAcentral's name for it is "partial 16S ribosomal RNA". It matches the Rfam family "Bacterial small subunit ribosomal RNA", at positions 524 to 776 of the family's 1533-position model. The record is from RNAcentral.
UACGGAGGGAGCUAGCGUUAUUCGGAAUUACUGGGCGUAAAGCGCACGUAGGCGGCUUUGUAAGUAAGAGGUGAAAGCCCAGAGCUCAACUCUGGAAUUGCCUUUUAGACUGCAUCGCUUGAAUCAUGGAGAGGUCAGUGGAAUUCCGAGUGUAGAGGUGAAAUUCGUAGAUAUUCGGAAGAACACCAGUGGCGAAGGCGGCUUACUGGUCCGGUACUGACGCUGAGGUGCGAAAGCGUGGGGAGCAAACAGG